Molecule: ribosomal RNA, 238 nt
Filed under: Staphylococcus aureus
Lineage: Bacteria; Bacillati; Bacillota; Bacilli; Caryophanales; Staphylococcaceae
Description: partial 23S ribosomal RNA
Rfam family: Bacterial large subunit ribosomal RNA
Source: RNAcentral
CGAAACCAGGUGAUCUACCCUUGGUCAGGUUGAAGUUCAGGUAACACUGAAUGGAGGACCGAACCGACUUACGUUGAAAAGUGAGCGGAUGAACUGAGGGUAGCGGAGAAAUUCCAAUCGAACCUGGAGAUAGCUGGUUCUCUCCGAAAUAGCUUUAGGGCUAGCCUCAAGUGAUGAUUAUUGGAGGUAGAGCACUGUUUGGACGAGGGGCCCCUCUCGGGUUACCGAAUUCAGACAA